UAGGGAAUCUUGCGCAAUGGAGGAAACUCUGACGCAGCGAUACCGCGUGAGUGAGGAAGGUCUUCGGAUUGUAAAGCUCUGUCGUGAGGGAAAAAUGGUCGCACAGGUAACAUUUGUGCGAAUUGAUGGUACCUCAGAAGGAAGCACCGGCUAACUUCGUGCCAGCAGCCGCGGUAAUACGAAGGGUGCAAGCGUUGUUCGGAUUUAUUGGGCGUAAAGCGCGCGCAGGCGGGUUUUUAAGUCAGAUGUGAAAUCUCGGAGCUCAACUCCGAACGUGCGUCUGAAACUGAAAAUCUAGAAUACUAGAGGGGACAGAGGAAUUUCACAUGUAGGGGUAAAAUCCGUAGAGAUGUGAAGGAACACCAGAGGCGAAGGCGUCUGUCUGGCUAGCUAUUGACGC
This 400-nucleotide ribosomal RNA is filed under the name uncultured bacterium. RNAcentral describes it as "bacterial SSU rRNA". It matches the Rfam family "Bacterial small subunit ribosomal RNA", at positions 355 to 746 of the family's 1533-position model. The record is from RNAcentral.